GAUGAACGCUGGCGGCGUGCCCAAUACAUGCAAGUCGAGCGAACAGACGAGGAGCUUGCUCCUCUGACGUUAGCGGCGGACGGGUGAGUAACACGUGGAUAACCUACCUAUAAGACUGGGAUAACUUCGGGAAACCGGAGCUAAUACCGGAUAAUAUAUUGAACCGCAUGGUUCAAUAGUGAAAGACGGUUUUGCUGUCACUUAUAGAUGGAUCCGCGCCGCAUUAGCUAGUUGGUAAGGUAACGGCUUACCAAGGCAACGAUGCGUAGCCGACCUGAGAGGGUGAUCGGCCACACUGGAACUGAGACACGGUCCAGACUCCUACGGGAGGCAGCAGUAGGGAAUCUUCCGCAAUGGGCGAAAGCCUGACGGAGCAACGCCGCGUGAGUGAUGAAGGUCUUCGGAUCGUAAAACUCUGUUAUUAGGGAAGAACAAAUGUGUAAGUAACUAUGCACGUUUUGACGGUACCUAAUCAGAAAGCCACGGCUAACUACGUG
This 497-nucleotide ribosomal RNA is filed under the name uncultured bacterium. RNAcentral's name for it is "partial 16S ribosomal RNA". It matches the Rfam family "Bacterial small subunit ribosomal RNA", at positions 28 to 507 of the family's 1533-position model. The record is from RNAcentral.